UGCAAGUCGAACGGUAACAGGAAGAAGCUUGCUUCUUUGCUGACGAGUGGCGGACGGGUGAGUAAUGUCUGGGAAACUGCCUGAUGGAGGGGGAUAACUACUGGAAACGGUAGCUAAUACCGCAUAACGUCGCAAGACCAAAGAGGGGGACCUUCGGGCCUCUUGCCAUCGGAUGUGCCCAGAUGGGAUUAGCUAGUAGGUGGGGUAACGGCUCACCUAGGCGACGAUCCCUAGCUGGUCUGAGAGGAUGACCAGCCACACUGGAACUGAGACACGGUCCAGACUCCUACGGGAGGCAGCAGUGGGGAAUAUUGCACAAUGGGCGCAAGCCUGAUGCAGCCAUGCCGCGUGUAUGAAGAAGGCCUUCGGGUUGUAAAGUACUUUCAGCGGGGAGGAAGGGAGUAAAGUUAAUACCUUUGCUCAUUGACGUUACCCGCAGAAGAAGCACCGGCUAACUCCGUGCCAGCAGCCGCGGUAAUACGGAGGGUGCAAGCGUUAAUCGGAAUUACUGGGCGUAAAGCGCACGCAGGCGGUUUGUUAAGUCAGAUGUGAAAUCCCCGGGCUCAACCUGGGAACUGCAUCUGAUACUGGCAAGCUUG
RNAcentral lists this ribosomal RNA (599 nucleotides) under uncultured bacterium. RNAcentral's name for it is "bacterial SSU rRNA". It matches the Rfam family "Bacterial small subunit ribosomal RNA", at positions 56 to 644 of the family's 1533-position model. The record is from RNAcentral.